Long non-coding RNA from Dioscorea cayenensis subsp. rotundata (Guinea yam), 1188 nucleotides. RefSeq lists it as uncharacterized. NCBI's taxonomy places the organism in Eukaryota, Viridiplantae, Streptophyta, Magnoliopsida, Dioscoreales, Dioscoreaceae. The record is from RefSeq and is a predicted model, not a curated record. The transcript has 5 exons.
UCAAAAACAUCCUUCUCCUCACCAUUCUUCUACUUCUUCUUCAGCUUCUCCAUCGAAACACAGCACCACCACCAUGUCGUCAAACCUAGAACCAGCAGUGAGACUUUGAGCCUGGGGCUGAAAAAAGAACAGCACAAAGGCGGUGCUCCCGAGAAGUGAGUUUGCACAUCAGAGAUGGGACCGGGAGAUGAGUAAAGUCCGGGAGGUGGUACUGGUGGUGGGUCAUGAUGUCCAUCGCUCGUCGGUGCAUAUCGUGUCGUUGUGGAAGAGAACGAAGGGCACUGGGGACUAGGGAGUGCUCUUCUACUUCCAUUCGCUUGUCAGUGCCGUCAUCUGGAUUUUAGGGGCUCAUAGAGCAUUGUAUCUUAUAAACUAGAUUUAUCGCUUCUUUGCGGAGAAUGUAGUUCACUGGAUUGCCCAGAAAAAAUUGGCGAAGUUUGUGCCAAGCUAUGGUGGGAAGAGAACCGGGAAAGAAUUCAAGCUCAGUACCUUUGAGUCAAACACAAGGGAGAAGAGGAAGGGAAGCCAAAUUAGGCCGCAAGGUAUCCAUGGUGGAGGCUUUUAAAGAAGUUUAUCAAAAGGAUGAUGGGAGUUGGAAUGAGGAGGGGGCCCAAUCAGCACAUGAGAAAUUUGUCAAAGCUCACCAAGACAUAUUGGCUUGAGAAGGCUAGGGGAUACAAAUUGAUGAUAAUAAACUAUGGUGGGACAUAUUCGGGGUUGCAAAAAAUUGAUGUUAUGGUAUGGGAAACCUUGUUGAGGAGAUAGUUUCUAAUUAUUCUCAUUUGCAAUCGCAGCGGUCUACUUUGAGAACUCAACAAUCUAUUUGCUUCUAUGCCUCCAGAGGUUAUGAGUAAGUUGGAAUUUUUAGAGAAAGCAUACGAAGAGCAGAAGCAGUAGAACCAGUACAUCCUUUCUCUAAUAGAAUCUCAAGGUAUUCAGGUAAACUUUGAGACAACUCCUCAUACUUCUCAUGCUCUUGCCAAGACUGGAGAGUCUGCUUCCCAUGCCCCUCACACUUCAGAGGACGUUGAACAGCCUCAGCCUGUCGAUAAUAUUGCAACAAAAUGAAUGUGGUGUAUUAGAUUAUUACAUUAGAUACUUGGACAAUUACAUUUUGUAUUUGUUUGUUAUAUUAGAUGUUUGAACUAUUAUAUUUUGUAAUGCAUUGUGAUUAUAGAUAUUUAUCAA